This is a long non-coding RNA of Rhododendron vialii, 2713 nucleotides long. RefSeq lists it as uncharacterized. The record is from RefSeq and is a predicted model, not a curated record. The transcript is spliced from 2 exons. NCBI's taxonomy places the organism in Eukaryota, Viridiplantae, Streptophyta, Magnoliopsida, Ericales, Ericaceae.
UAGUAGUGACGGUAGUAAACGCAAAGGAAUAUUCCAAGACUAGUAUGUAAAAGAAAGAAAGGUGCCAGAAUAAUAAAACAGAAAAUUGUGCUGAUUCAUUUACUCCAAGCUAAAUGCCAUAAAUGUGGGAUCCCAGAAAAAAUUCAGCCCCACAAUUGGACUGGAGGCAGUUGUAGAGGAAAAUUUCAGCCCCACAACUUUUUCACUCUACGUUCAAGCAAAGUUCCCUUACUAACUCCUUUGCACUUAAGUGCUUCCAGAUGCUAUCAAGGCUGAGAAUCAAUAGGUCUCCUGAAGCAUGAAAUAUCUGCCUCGAAGUCAAUUGGAAGUGAGAGGAGAGGCCCAACAAGGCUCAUAUAUCACCUUGGGUAAUACUUUCACACGAUUAUACCAGUUGUGGGCCAGGCUCUAACAAGGUCCAAGAGUACUGUGGCAUUUCUUCUUGUGCCAAAGAUGGACUGGGUACCGAUCAAAAAAAGAAGAAGAGAGAUCCAGAAACAAAAAAUGGUCAUCCUGGGGAUUAUAGCAAGGCUGAAAGAAAUGCUUUGGUGCAAUUUUUAACUCCGACUUAGAUUUGGGUGCUCCAGAUAGAGGCAAAUGUCACAAUUUUUAUCUAGAAAACCAUGAUAUUUGAAAAGUCUGAGGUCAAAGAAAGUUUCAGCCUCCCUCCGCUCAUUCAGUCAUUCUUGAAGAUUACAUGAUUGCAAUGUCCAACAUACACAAAGUUCUAUAUGACAACAUUUACUGCAGUAAUAACCUAUGAUGACAAAAGAAAUACAUACGUCGUGCCCUUGCAUAGAAAUAAAUGCAAAAUGCAAGUACCUUUAGUAUCUCCUCCUCUGCGGAUGUCCAUGAGACUUUCUUUCGCCUCAACUGAGGAAUUGCUGGGUAGGUGCUACAAAUGUUUUAUCACUCGUCAAUCAUGAUUUCAGUUCCAAACAGAAUAUCAGAUUAUUCAAAAGACCAACUGCAUACAUGAGGAUGGAACAGAACAAGCUGUUGCAGAACAUGCUAAACUUCUACCAGAAAAGUUAAUUUAAAAAAAAAAAAAAAUCAAUCAUUUAACAGCAAAUUGUCAAUUAAGAAGAAAAGGAAGACGACUUAAGUGUUUGGUUGAUCAAUGGAGAAAACAGUCAGCUUAACAACCAUAACAGUACCCAUGUAAUCCCCAAUUGAUGGGGGGUAUGGGCAAGGAGGACCGGAGAUAGACCUAACCUUUGGCAAUAUAUGCACAAAGUGACUGGCUCAAAAACUUUAACCCUAAAAUAGCAACCCCCCUAUAUCUCCAAAAAUCGAGAAGUCAAGAAAUAUUAUAUUUUGUUUAGCUUUGGGAUUUAAUUUAUAUUUUGCUUUGCAUGUUGUCCGUUUUGGUAGCUCCCAUUGUUAAGAGUUUGCCUAUAAAUAGGCUCAUUGUAUUGAAAUAAUCAGGUUUUGAUGAAUGGAGAAUUUUAUAUCAUCUCGGGUGGACACCUAUACUCCCUUUAGGUGCGGAUUCCAAGAAUUAUGGCCCUCAGGUGCAGAUGCCUGGGUUUCUUUCUUUUUCUUCACUCUAUUUUUUCUACUUAAUUUAAUUGUUCUGCAUCAGCAUAGAUAUACAGGUACAAAACGCUCCUUUCAUCAAUCAAUACUAGAAAACUUACUACUGCUUUUCUUGCUUGUCACGGCGUCGGCGUUCUAUGCGGUAAUUAGAAGUGGCCUUAUCAUUUUCUUCUUCAGAACUUUCCCCUACAUCGACUUUUGAUAGACGAGCAGCACGUCGGUUUGGAUUAGCAAUAGGUUGUUGUAAAACUUCCUUUUGCAUUUCAUCUUCACCAUGGCCCUUGGUCUCAUGGCCACUCUCUCUAUCUCUGCAAGUUGAAUUAUCAUCGCCACGAUCGCAACCACUCCCUUCUUCAAUCUGUUGUUCCUCUAACGCACUUCCAGAUUGGCACUGUGGGCCCAAUUUCCCUCCCUCUCUCUCUCCGUCUGGUAAAGCACCUAGUGUUCCAUCAUCUGCUAUGGUCACACCUUCUUCUUGACAAGGUAGACCAUCAUUAACCUUUGACACCGAAGGUUCCAUUUGUUUCUUAUCAUCUAUAUCUCCCCUAUGUUGAGUACUAUUGACUUUGUUUACAUGGUUUUCAUUACAGUUAGCUUGAGUGUUUCCAUUCGCAUUCUCAUCUAGAAUGAACUGAUUUUGCUCGGGCACCAGAAAUCUCUUAGUAUGUUUAUCCACCCGAUGUCCAUUCUCCAAUCCAAUAAAAACUGCAAGCUCGUUCCUCGCUAAGGCAGCCUUUUUCUUGAUUUCAAGGUACUCCGAAAUUGCAUGAGAAUAUGCACAGAAAGGGCAGUAAAACUUCCCACUGUUAUCAAAACUGGGUGCAGAGCCCAAGCAGCUCUGAUGAACCACUAACGGACAAGCGCUUCCACUGCAAACCAACAGCUGACCACCUUUAUUACACUUCAUACAAAGAUUAAGCUCUGUACAGUCAGCUGUUGCCAAAGAGUCCUGACUGAUUGAGCAUUGAGAGCUCAAGAACUUACGUUUUUCCAGGGCAACAUCAAUCUUCUCGUCCUGAUAGCCAUCGCUAUCGCUGGACAUUUCUCGUCUAGGAUUAUGCUCCCUCUCAUCUCUGGCAUCAUCAGGAAUAUCUUUUAGGUGGGUUCCAUCUAAGAGCGGCACACAGUUAGAUGUAUUGAUUUGGGUAUUUCCACACUUAUCUCUGCAUUCAUC